Felis catus (domestic cat) is the source of this 2911-nucleotide long non-coding RNA. RefSeq lists it as uncharacterized. The transcript is spliced from 11 exons. The record is from RefSeq and is a predicted model, not a curated record. NCBI's taxonomy places the organism in Eukaryota, Metazoa, Chordata, Mammalia, Carnivora, Felidae.
UGGAAACAAGAAGAUCAGUUGGAAGGAGAUUAUAUCCAGGUCAGAGAUGAUGGCUUGACCUACAAGUGAAGAUGAAAGAAGGAAGAGCACCACCAUGUGACAAAGCCCUGGAUGUCUGCUGUUUGAUAGCCUACAUGUGGCCCAGUCACUUCUGUCAUCACCCACUAUUGCCAGCCAAUCCAAGCAGCAGAGCCUUCCAACUGACUGGCAGGUGACUGUAUUCACUUUCUGAGUCUGGAAUUCUGGAACAGACUGAGUGGAUGGUUCUGGCUCAGGUCCUCUCAUAACGUUAUGUAGACCAAGACUUCAGUCAUCUCAAGACUCAACCAAGGCUGAAGAAUCAGCAUCUAAGUUCACUCAAGUUCUUAUUGAGACCUUUUGGACCAACUGCAUGUCCUUCAUAAUUUUGUAGAACGCGGAAGGAGGACAUCUAAUAUAAUUUUCUGUUGACAUCUCUGUCCAAUACUUAGAGAUGAAGAAAAUGAGCAUUUGAAAGAACACGAAGCAUUUCAAAAUCUACAUGGUGGUUAAAAGAAAAGAUGGGUCCUUCAACAUUAUUGGAGAAUUCACUGAAGUAAGACAUGACAGUGCUGGGAGAAUUAAGACACAUGCACAUCUGCUACUCAUGAUUCUUAACUGUUCAGGAAGGCAAGAGAAGUGUCUUCUUUGCGUUUCAAACCUCACCUUUAAUAAAACCUGAGAAAAUCUAUGGAUAUCCAAUAACGACAAGAGAAAGAGAAAGAGAUGAGGAAAAGGAAGAAAAAAGAGAGACUGAGCACAAGCAGGGGCAGGGGAGAGAGACACAGAAUCUGAAGCAGUCUCCAGGCUCUGAGCUGUCAACACAGAACCCGUCACCGGGCUCAAACUCACGGACUGUGACAUCAUGACCUGAGCCGAAGUCAGAUGCUUAACUGACUGAGCCACGCCGGCACCCCAUAAACUGCUCACAAAUUUUUAAAACUCAUCUAUCCUUUAAAGGAUACUGCAUCAGAAAACAUCAAAAGAAGUAAUUACGGUGCACACACCAGUGAAUGCUGCUGGUACUCUGCCCAGAUCCCCUUGCCCAGCAGCAGGCACAGGGCCAAGCUGGACCAAUCGACCCUUCCUCACAGAUGCUGUGAAGAAAGACUCAUGGGGCAAAACUGGAGGCAUCUGAAGAGCGUCUCUUGGGGCCAAGACCCACAUGUCCCGGCAAGUUCCUAUUCCUCUUCUCUAUUCUCAGUUUCUGUGAUUAAUACCAUCUUCCCAAUAAAAUAUAUUUUCAUGUUAAUAUGAGUCAAAAUCCUAGUGGAUUUUAAUCUUGUUUAUAGGGAAAGAAAUUUUAUGUACUAUUUAUGUACCAUUUACCAGCUGUGUGACCAUGAAGAAGUUAUUUUCUUUCUCUAUGCCUCAAUUUUUCAGCUAUAAAGUGAGAAUAAUAAUAAUAAUAAUAAUAACUGACUCAUAAUGUUGCAGUAUGACAGUCCUUAUAAAGUACUUCAAAAAUUCUGGACUCAGUAAGAACCACAUGAUUUUUAUCUUUGUUAUCAUUAUUAUAUGAAUAAUACAUAAUGUUCUAUGGAUUUUGAGAUUGGCCUUUUAGCUUGCUUACCAAUUGAAGUAUUUUUGGGACUAAUUCUCUUUGAGUUUCUAAGUAGAAAAGUAUAUUGUCUAUAAGUAGUAGAUUAUAAUUCCCUUCUUUUUUUUUUACAUGUUCUUACAUUUUAUUUCUCUUAAUGUAUACUUUGUGAAUUUUAAAAUUCAUAACUUUUAUGGAUUCUUAAAAUUACUUUCCUUUUGUUCUUUGUGAAAUAGAAUUUUAAAGUCCAAAAUUUCAAGUUUUCGUUAAACUCUUUAAACUUUAAAAUUUUGAUUACCAUUCUUUAUUGAUUAUUGCUUCUUUCCCAUAUACUCCGACUACCCCUUCAGCCCUCCAGCUCUCCCUGGAAAUCAUAUUUAAUGCAUAGCCAUCUCUCACUGUGCCCCUCGGAUCUGUUUUUAUUUGUUUGUUUCUUUGUUUAAUUUAUAUCCAUUUCGUCUCUGCUCUAAAUUUCCUUAAUUUAUCUUCAGAUCUGAUGAGCUUUGUGUAGUGUGCACUUGAAUCCUCCAUUACGAUUUUAUUUUGAAAACAGUAUUGUUAUCUUACUGCUUUCUUUUUGAUAGGUCAUUGAAUUCCAUGAUUCUUUUUGAUAGGUGGUUUGUAUCCCAUGAUUGUUUCAUUUCCGUGUAUGUGAUGUUUUCUAAGAGUCAGUGGAGAGUCAGAACAUUCACCACUGGUCAGUGGUAAUGAGGCUGCACCCCUAAUGGUGUCAAUGGAGGCCAUGUGGGGAGCAGUAAUAGGGGACUCCAUACCUGUCAACCUGGAUAAUGCAGUAGUAGCCCUGUGGGAAGCCAGAACUCUUGCCUCCCUCUAGUACCAGGAGGGAGAACCUUCCCAUCCCUAGUGUCAACAAUUAUCAAUGGGGAACUUGCAUUGUACCCAACCUGGAUGUAAUAAGGUGGCACUCUCUUCCUGGCCUUCUCUUCAAGAAUACAGAGAAUACCAAAUAAAAUGUUUAAAUAAAAUGAAGAGGCUAAUUAUACAUUACCAAAAAUAUCUAGGUUUUAAUAAAAAAAUCACUUGUCAUACCAAAAAUCAAAAAGAUCUCAGAGGAAGAUAAUAAACAACUACUAACAUCAGGAAACAAGACAUAUCACAAUAGUCUCUGCAGACCUCAAAAGGGAAAUGAGGCAAUACUGUGAACAAUUCUACAUGUAUAAAUUGGACAACGUGGAUGAAACAGGUCAUUUCUUGAAAGCACAACCAAAACUCACCCUACAGAAAAUAGAUGAUUUGAAUAGAUCCACAGCUAGUAUAGAAAUUGAAUUCAUAGGGGCGCCUGGGUGGCUCAGUCGGUUGAGCGUCUGACUUCAGCUCAGGUCAUGAUCUCAU